Non-coding RNA from Canis lupus familiaris (dog), 69 nucleotides. The record is from Rfam. NCBI's taxonomy places the organism in Eukaryota, Metazoa, Chordata, Mammalia, Carnivora, Canidae.
AGUCAGUGAUGUGAUGCUAUGUUUACCUAAACCUAAAGUUGAUGUAAAUUCUAAAAUUACAGAGGCCUU